AUUCAGAGAUGGAUUUGUGCCUUCGGGAACCGUGAGACAGGUGCUGCAUGGCUGUCGUCAGCUCGUGUUGUGAAAUGUUGGGUUAAGUCCCGCAACGAGCGCAACCCUUAUCCUUUGUUGCCAGCGGUCCGGCCGGGAACUCAAAGGAGACUGCCAGUGAUAAACUGGAGGAAGGUGGGGAUGACGUCAAGUCAUCAUGGCCCUUACGACCAGGGCUACACACGUGCUACAAUGGCGCAUACAAAGAGAAGCGACCUCGCGAGAGCAAGCGGACCUCAUAAAGUGCGUCGUAGUCCGGAUUGGAGUCUGCAACUCGACUCCAUGAAGUCGGAAUCGCUAGUAAUCGUGGAUCAGAAUGCCACGGUGAAUACGUUCCCGGGCCUUGUACACACCGCCCGUCACACCAUGGGAGUGGGUUGCAAAAGAAGUAGGUAGCUUAACCUUCGGGAGGGCGCUUACCACUUUGUGAUUCAUGACUGGGGUGAAGUCGUAACAAGGUAACCGUAGGGGAACCUGCGGUUGGAUCACCUCCUUACCUGAAAGAA
RNAcentral lists this ribosomal RNA (545 nucleotides) under Salmonella enterica. Its description in RNAcentral is "bacterial SSU rRNA". It matches the Rfam family "Bacterial small subunit ribosomal RNA", at positions 998 to 1533 of the family's 1533-position model. The record is from RNAcentral. Lineage: Bacteria; Pseudomonadati; Pseudomonadota; Gammaproteobacteria; Enterobacterales; Enterobacteriaceae.